GAUGAACGCUUGCGGCGUGCCUAAUACAUGCAAGUCGAGCGAACAGACGAGGAGCUUGCUCCUCUGACGUUAGCGGCGGACGGGUGAGUAACACGUGGAUAACCUACCUAUAAGACUGGGAUAACUUCGGGAAACCGGAGCUAAUACCGGAUAAUAUAUUGAACCGCAUGGUUCAAUAGUGAAAGACGGUUUUGCUGUCACUUAUAGAUGGAUCCGCGCCGCAUUAGCUAGUUGGUAAGGUAACGGCUUACCAAGGCAACGAUGCGUAGCCGACCUGAGAGGGUGAUCGGCCAGACUGGAACUGAGACACGGUCCAGACUCCUACGGGAGGCAGCAGUAGGGAAUCUUCCGCAAUGGGCGAAAGCCUGACGGAGCAACGCCGCGUGAGUGAUGAAGGUCUUCGGAUCGUAAAACUCUGUUAUUAGGGAAGAACAAAUGUGUAAGUAACUAUGCACGUCUUGACGGUACCUAAUCAGAAAGCCACGGCUAACUACGUG
This 497-nucleotide ribosomal RNA is filed under the name uncultured bacterium. Its description in RNAcentral is "partial 16S ribosomal RNA". It matches the Rfam family "Bacterial small subunit ribosomal RNA", at positions 28 to 507 of the family's 1533-position model. The record is from RNAcentral.